AGCCUAUUGGCCUAAAAUGGUAGAGUAAUGUGUUGUUACACAAAGAUGUAGGUUCAAGGUCCUACAUAGGCUG
RNAcentral lists this transfer RNA (73 nucleotides) under Spinacia oleracea (spinach). It matches the Rfam family "tRNA". From Rfam's summary of the family: Transfer RNA (tRNA) molecules are approximately 80 nucleotides in length. Their secondary structure includes four short double-helical elements and three loops (D, anti-codon, and T loops). Lineage: Eukaryota; Viridiplantae; Streptophyta; Magnoliopsida; Caryophyllales; Amaranthaceae. The record is from Rfam by way of RNAcentral.